CCGCCCCUGCCCGCCGUCCUUCUCACUGACACAGAGGAGUACCGCCAGUGGCCCCCCGACACCCCCGGUCCCUCCUACCGCCUGACAGGGGAGCAGCGCGCCUUCCUACACACCACCGUCACCAGCCUCGCCCACUUCCUGGUGUGGCGGGACCCUCAACAAGGACAAACUGACUGGCUGGUGGUUGGCUUGCUGACGACUCUUGUGGCUUCCUGGAUCAUCAACGGCCUGCUUCUCCUGCACCUAUGGCGUCUGUGUGCCUCCAGCCGCAAGGGGAAGCCGAAAGAGGCUGACCACUGCUCUGCCGAGGUGCUCAUCUCAAGGGGCGUGAAGUAUAGGCCGGAGGAUUCGAACUAGUGACCGCCCCUACCUUCAGCCAUCCCCCCCCCCUCUCCCUCUCUCUCUCUUGUGGUUGUUGAAAGAAUUAUAUGUAUUUUUUCAUUGUAUUUAUUGUCUAUUUAUAUUUUUUUGUUUGUCCGUGGUAUGUAGUACUGUGUCAUACUGAAUACAAAAUCUUGACUUAUUUUUUCCUGUUUUUAACUUAUUUGUUUUAUGCAGCGAACAAAAUCAGUGAUUACAGCAACUACCACUACUAUAAGGCCCGCAGCUGCUACUACUACUACUACUACUACUACUACUACUACAGUUACUACUACUACUACUACUACUACUACUACUACUACUACUACUGCUGCUGCUGCUGCUACUACUUCUACUAUAAAUGGCUGCUUCAAAAUAUUUAUACAGGGGGAGAUGGGUGAUGGUGGUACUGUGUUUGGACAAGGAUGAGACUGGUUGGGUUUCUUAAGAAUAGGAAUAAGUCUUUGGUAAAAAAAAUGCCGACUCUGGGCCACGACAACCCAGCGACUCGGGGUAUGCGAGGUCUUGGGUGUGAAAUACUGAUAUGAAAGGGUCGCACAUGGUCGGAAAGAGGUCUAGAAACGAUCGCCGGAUGCUGAUUCGGCACCGUGUGAAGGGAGCCAAGUCACUGGGUUGUCGUGGCCCAGAGUCGGCACAGUGUGAACGGGGAUUUAGUGUUUGUUUUCUGGUCACACAAAGACCUCACUAACAUUGACACUGGUUACUCUUUCACCAGAUCUUACGGAAGCAUUACAUUCUUCUUUAUUUCAUGGAGAAUGGAAAAUCAAAUGAAGAGAAAGAAGAAAGAAAAGAGAAGGAGGAGAGGAGAGAAAGAAGAUGGAAGAGAAAGAUACAGAUAAAAAAUAAGAAGUAGGAGAGGAAAAAAAACUAAAGUACAAAGAAAGAAAAAGAAGGAGAAGGAAGAGGAUAAGAAGGAGAAAAAGAGAAGAAAGAUACAAAGAACCUGAUAUAUAAAAAAAAGAAAAAAUGCCCCCUGAUAAAACCAAAAGAACUAUCUACUUAUGUAUGAACAGAUAGAUAAACACACUACAUUGUACCCUAAAAAAGCCAUUCCAUACACACACACACACACACACACACACACACACACACACACACACACAUCUAUCCAUAAUACAUACAAAGACACAUACACAUACAUACGUAAACUUUACAUAUACACAAUUUCGUCGUAAAAACAUGCAGUAACUACAAGUAGGAACAAGUACCCAUUUGUUCUUGCCCUAGAAAUCGGCAAGUCACACAGAGUUAAUAAUACUGAAGGUUUGCUCAUUGUCAGGGUUUAGUUAAGGCAUUAGUGGUGGGAGGAACUGAACCCCUUUACUCUAUAGCUCAAGACUUGUUGGGCUUAUUAGAGUUAAGAAAAGGAGUUAUUGAGAACUAUAUUACAUUGUGUGUGUGUGUGGGGGAGGGGGGGGAUUGUGCGGGUCAGUUUUUCUUUUUCUCUUUCGUGUAUGGGUAAUUUUUUCUUUGUGUGUGUACAGAUCAGGGUUUGUGUGUGUAUAUGUGUGUGUGUGUGUGUGUGUGUGUGUGUGUGUGU
Eriocheir sinensis (Chinese mitten crab) is the source of this 1921-nucleotide long non-coding RNA. RefSeq lists it as uncharacterized. Lineage: Eukaryota; Metazoa; Arthropoda; Malacostraca; Decapoda; Varunidae. The record is from RefSeq and is a predicted model, not a curated record. The transcript is spliced from 4 exons.